Molecule: long non-coding RNA, 580 nt
Organism: Chelonoidis abingdonii (Abingdon island giant tortoise)
Lineage: Eukaryota; Metazoa; Chordata; Testudines; Testudinidae
Source: RefSeq, a predicted model, not a curated record
ACUGCACCAGAAAUGUUUAUCAAAACCCAGGUUAAUUGCCAAAAUAGUGAGACUGCAAACUGAAAAUCCUGAUCAUCCCUAACAGAGCUAACAUAUGAUACCCAUGUUCAACAUAAAUAUAAUGAAAUGUCAGCCGAAGAGAACUGCAAUAUUCCUACAGAAUAUGGUUCCAUCAACAUUUUCUUCAACCGACUGUAGCUUUGGGACCUACUACUCAUGUGCUGUGGUGGAUGUGAUCAAGCCAGUUCAUGUGCUGAGACAGUCUUUCCAACAUCUGUGGGGUUAAUUUUGCAUCAAAGUCAGAAGGGAAUUGCUGUCAUUUCCAGUACAGGGCAGGAAGGAAAAAGCCAGAACAGAGCUGCUGUUAAUUCAGUGAAGAAACAUUGCUGGAAUACACAAAAUGGACAGGGCGCAGAAUCUGGCUGCAGAGGACAUUGAGUUAUUUGAGUGGAAGGUACUGGACGUGAGAGAGACUUAAGGCUGCAUUUGUCAUUCUUUUUAAAUCAUUAUGCCUAAAUUAAGCAAACCCACUUAACGUACAGAUUGUAACUUCUGGGGGAAUUCUGCGCACAAGAUUUUA